UGCAUUUCAAACAGUUCCAGAUUAGACCACGAUAAAACGUACAUGAACUCUGCACCAUUAGUGUUACCAGGUAUAGGGGCAGAGAUUCAGAAGACAUGUGAUGAAACCUGAUGCUGAUUACAACAAAUGGAUUUACACUGAAGAUCAGCUGGAAUAAUUUGGCCCCUAAAAACAGAGACAGAUUCUAAACACUGCUCUCCUGGCUCCGUUCAUCCCUUGGCAGGAAGGAAGGCAGGAGCAAACAUCUUGGACAACAGGGCUGCACAACAUGUCAGUGUGCUUGAGAUCAUUUCUGCAUUUUGCACCUAAAAGACAACACACUGCUAACAACUUUCUCAGCAGGCAACAGGAGCAGGGAGGGGAAGGAAACUGCAGCAGGCACUCCUGAGGGACUGAAGAGCAAUGACGGCUUCUAUCUGAAGAAUGCUGAGAAAAUCUAAAAAGUUAUUUUAAAGCUUCUGAAGAAUUAAUAGAACGAUGUCCGUAAACGUCCUCUCAGAAAUAUCAGAAUCCAGGGUGGGGUUUUACAGAAGUUGGAGAGGUACGAGAACUGAGGCUGAUGGCUGACUACAAUGAUUUUUUUUCCUAUAUUUCAUUGAAUCACAGAAUGGCCUGAGUUAAAAAGGAUUUCAAAGACCAUCUAGUUUCAAGCCCCCUGCUUUGGGCAUGGCCACCAACCACCAGACAGGGAGCACAUUUGCCCCUUGUUUUCACACUGGGAGUUGCAUAUUUGUAACUGAGGGAAGAACUGAGUGCAGUGUUAACAACGUUAGGUAAAUAAUGUUGCUAUUAGAUUUUUAGAACCUGUUCUUUCUUUUUUUUUUUUUUAACGUGUUAUGUAAUCACUCCUCUAAUGAGCGUUCGGCCAAUAAAGGUGAAACAAGUUGCUAA
Molecule: long non-coding RNA, 891 nt
Filed under: Gallus gallus (chicken)
Lineage: Eukaryota; Metazoa; Chordata; Aves; Galliformes; Phasianidae
Description: lncRNA (ENSGALG00010002823.1)
Source: RNAcentral